Molecule: ribosomal RNA, 520 nt
Filed under: uncultured bacterium
Lineage: Bacteria
Description: bacterial LSU rRNA
Rfam family: Bacterial large subunit ribosomal RNA
Source: RNAcentral
AGAUGAUGUCAGACGCAAGCGAAGCAUUUGAUUGAAGCCCGAGUAAACGGCGGCCGUAACGAUAACGGUCCUAAGGUAGCGAAAUUCCUUGUCGGUUAAAUACCGACCUGCAUGAAUGGCGUAACGAGAUGGGAGCUGUCUCAACCAGGGAUCCAGUGAAAUUGUAGUGGAGGUGAAAAUUCCUCCUACCCGCGGAAAGACGGAAAGACCCCGUGCACCUUUACUACAGCUUGACACUGUAGCUUGGAUAUUCAUGUGCAGGAUAGGUGGGAGGCUAUGAUGCUAGGACGCAAUUACUAGCGGAGCCAUCCUUGAGAUACCACCCUUGAAUAUUUGAGUUACUAACUGCGACGAGUCAACCUCGUUCAGGACAAUGUCUGGUGGGUAGUUUGACUGGGGCGGUCGCCUCCUAAAAAGUAACGGAGGCUUACAAAGGUUAGUUCAUGGCGGAUGGAAAUCGCCAGUUGAGUAUAAUGGCAUAAACUAGCUUGACUGUGAGACAUACAAGUCGAACAGAGAC